Russula vinacea is the source of this 112-nucleotide non-coding RNA. The record is from the annotation of a GenBank genome assembly. NCBI's taxonomy places the organism in Eukaryota, Fungi, Basidiomycota, Agaricomycetes, Russulales, Russulaceae.
CCCUGUUGGCUCAACUGGUAGAGCGCGUCACUAGUGAUGUGAUCUUGAAAAUCACAACCUGACCUUGAAAGUCAGUGUGACGAGUUCACUGGUUCGAAUGUGGUGAUGGGAA